UGGGGAAUCUUGGACAAUGGGCGAAAGCCUGAUCCAGCCAUGCCGCGUGAGUGACGAAGGUCUUCGGAUUGUAAAGCUCUUUUGGCGGGGACGAUAAUGACGGUACCCGCAGAAUAAGCCCCGGCUAACUUCGUGCCAGCAGCCGCGGUAAUACGAAGGGGGCUAGCGUUGUUCGGAAUUACUGGGCGUAAAGCGCGCGUAGGCGGAUUUGUAAGUCAGGGGUGAAAUCCCGGGGCUCAACCUCGGAACUGCCCUUGAUACUGCAAAUCUCGAGUCCGAUAGAGGUGAGUGGAAUUCCUAGUGUAGAGGUGAAAUUCGUAGAUAUUAGGAAGAACACCAGUGGCGAAGGCGGCUCACUGGCCCGAUACUGACGCUGAGGUGCGAAAGCGUGGGGAGCAAACAGGAUUAGAUACCCGAGUAGUCCCUGAGCGGGCUGGCAAGGCGCAU
Molecule: ribosomal RNA, 447 nt
Filed under: uncultured bacterium
Lineage: Bacteria
Description: bacterial SSU rRNA
Rfam family: Bacterial small subunit ribosomal RNA
Source: RNAcentral